This 1416-nucleotide ribosomal RNA is filed under the name Vibrio sp. Its description in RNAcentral is "bacterial SSU rRNA". It matches the Rfam family "Bacterial small subunit ribosomal RNA". Lineage: Bacteria; Pseudomonadati; Pseudomonadota; Gammaproteobacteria; Vibrionales; Vibrionaceae. The record is from RNAcentral.
CUACCAUGCAGUCGAGCGGUAACAUUUCAAAAGCUUGCUUUUGAAGAUGACGAGCGGCGGACGGGUGAGUAAUGCUUGGGAAGUUGCCUUAAUGAGGGGGAUAACUAUUGGAAACGAUAGCUAAUACCGCAUAAUCUCUACGGAGCAAAGCAGGGGACCUUCGGGCCUUGCGCAUUAAGAUACGCCCAAGUGGGAUUAGCUAGUUGGUGAGGUAAAGGCUCACCAAGGCGACGAUCCCUAGCUGGUCUGAGAGGAUGAUCAGCCACACUGGAACUGAGACACGGUCCAGACUCCUACGGGAGGCAGCAGUGGGGAAUAUUGCACAAUGGGCGCAAGCCUGAUGCAGCCAUGCCGCGUGUGUGAAGAAGGCCUUAGGGUUGUAAAGCACUUUCAGCAGUGAGGAAGGUAGUAACACUAAUAAUGUUGCUAUUUGACGUUAGCUGCAGAAGAAGCACCGGCUAACUCCGUGCCAGCAGCCGCGGUAAUACGGAGGGUGCGAGCGUUAAUCGGAAUUACUGGGCGUAAAGCGCAUGCAGGCGGCUUGUUAAGUCAGAUGUGAAAGCCCGGAGCUUAACUUCGGAAGGUCAUUUGAAACUGGCAAGCUAGAGUCUUGUAGAGGGGGGUAGAAUUUCAGGUGUAGCGGUGAAAUGCGUAGAGAUCUGAAGGAAUACCGGUGGCGAAGGCGGCCCCCUGGACAAAGACUGACGCUCAGAUGCGAAAGCGUGGGUAGCAAACGGGAUUAGAUACCCCCGGUAGUCCACGCCGUAAACGAUGUCUACUUGAAGGUUGUGGCCUUGAGCCGUGGCUUUUCGGAGCUAACGCGUUAAGUAGACCGCCUGGGGGAGUACGGUCGCAAGAUUAAAACUCAAAUGAAUUGACGGGGGCCCGCACAAGCGGUGGAGCAUGUGGUUUAAUUCGAUGCAACGCGAAGAACCUUACCUACUCUUGACAUCCAGAGAAGCCAGCGGAGACGCAGGUGUGCCUUCGGGAACUCUGAGACAGGUGCUGCAUGGCUGUCGUCAGCUCGUGUUGUGAAAUGUUGGGUUAAGUCCCGCAACGAGCGCAACCCUUAUCCUUGUUUGCCAGCACGUAAUGGUGGGAACUCCAGGGAGACUGCCGGUGAUAAACCGGAGGAAGGUGGGGACGACGUCAAGUCAUCAUGGCCCUUACGAGUAGGGCUACACACGUGCUACAAUGGCGCAUACAGAGGGCGGCGAACCAGCGAUGGUAAGCGAAUCCCAAAAAGUGCGUCGUAGUCCGGAUUGGAGUCUGCAACUCGACUCCAUGAAGUCGGAAUCGCUAGUAAUCGUGGAUCAGAAUGCCACGGUGAAUACGUUCCCGGGCCUUGUACACACCGCCCGUCACACCAUGGGAGUGGGCUGCACCAGAAGUAGAUAGCUUAACCUUCGGGAGGGC